UAUUGAAAUAAGAUUUUAAUUGAAUGCUAAGAGAAUGGAAGUCCAGAAAAAAACUUUUUUUAAAUUAAAAAUUGAAGUUUUUUUAAUUUGUGCAGAAACAAUUAUUUAUAUUAAGGACAAGAAGACCCUAUGAAUUUAUUAAAUUUUUAUUUAAUAUGUAAUUACUAUUAAAAAAAUUUUGGCUGGGGCGGCUAAAAAAUAUUAUAAACUUUUUAAAAAUAAAAUGAUCCACUAUUAAUGAUUUUAUGUUAAAUACUCUAGGGAUAACAGCGUUAUAUUUUUUGUUAUAUUUUUUGUUAUAUUUUUUG
RNAcentral lists this ribosomal RNA (308 nucleotides) under Rhipicephalus afranicus. Its description in RNAcentral is "partial large subunit ribosomal RNA". The record is from RNAcentral. Lineage: Eukaryota; Metazoa; Arthropoda; Arachnida; Ixodida; Ixodidae.